GGAUGUGAGGGCGAUCUGGCUGCGACAUCUGUCACCCCAUUGAUCGCCAGGGUUGAUUCGGCUGAUCUGGCUGGCUAGGCAGGUGUCCCCUUCCUCCCUCACCGCUCCAUGUGCGUCCCUCCCGAAGCUGCACGUUCGGUCGAAGAGGAUGACCAUCCCCAAUAGAGGAGGACCGUUCUUCGGUCAAGGGUAUACGAGUAGCUGCGCUCCCCUGCUAGAACCUCCAAACAAGCUCUCAUCCACAGUGGAGCUCUUGAUUAGCUCCCUU
Molecule: small RNA, 268 nt
Filed under: Castor canadensis (American beaver)
Lineage: Eukaryota; Metazoa; Chordata; Mammalia; Rodentia; Castoridae
Description: 7SK RNA (ENSCCNG00000014477.1)
Rfam family: 7SK RNA
About the family: 7SK was discovered as an abundant small nuclear RNA in the mid-70s but a possible function has only recently been suggested. Two independent studies have found that 7SK RNA binds the CDK9/cyclin T complex (known as elongation factor P-TEFb). P-TEFb activates transcription by phosphorylating the C-terminal domain of RNA polymerase II.
Source: RNAcentral